This 1371-nucleotide ribosomal RNA is filed under the name uncultured bacterium. RNAcentral describes it as "bacterial SSU rRNA". It matches the Rfam family "Bacterial small subunit ribosomal RNA". The record is from RNAcentral.
AGAGUUUGAUCCUGGCUCAGAACGAACGCUGGCGGCGUGGAUAAGACAUGCAAGUCGAACGAGAGAAUUGCUAGCUUGCUAAUAAUUCUCUAGUGGCGCACGGGUGAGUAACACGUGAGUAACCUGCCCCCGAGAGCGGGAUAGCCCUGGGAAACUGGGAUUAAUACCGCAUAGUAUCGAAAGAUUAAAGCAGCAAUGCGCUUGGGGAUGGGCUCGCGGCCUAUUAGUUAGUUGGUGAGGUAACGGCUCACCAAGGCGAUGACGGGUAGCCGGUCUGAGAGGAUGUCCGGCCACACUGGAACUGAGACACGGUCCAGACACCUACGGGUGGCAGCAGUCGAGAAUCAUUCACAAUGGGGGAAACCCUGAUGGUGCGACGCCGCGUGGGGGAAUGAAGGUCUUCGGAUUGUAAACCCCUGUCAUGUGGGAGCAAAUUAAAAAGAUAGUACCACAAGAGGAAGAGACGGCUAACUCUGUGCCAGCAGCCGCGGUAAUACAGAGGUCUCAAGCGUUGUUCGGAAUCACUGGGCGUAAAGCGUGCGUAGGCUGUUUCGUAAGUCGUGUGUGAAAGGCGCGGGCUCAACCCGCGGACGGCACAUGAUACUGCGAGACUAGAGUAAUGGAGGGGGAACCGGAAUUCUCGGUGUAGCAGUGAAAUGCGUAGAUAUCGAGAGGAACACUCGUGGCGAAGGCGGGUUCCUGGACAUUAACUGACGCUGAGGCACGAAGGCCAGGGGAGCGAAAGGGAUUAGAUACCCCUGUAGUCCUGGCAGUAAACGGUGCACGCUUGGUGUGCGGGGAAUCGACCCCCUGCGUGCCGGAGCUAACGCGUUAAGCGUGCCGCCUGGGGAGUACGGUCGCAAGAUUAAAACUCAAAGAAAUUGACGGGGACCCGCACAAGCGGUGGAGUAUGUGGCUUAAUUCGAUGCAACGCGAAGAACCUUACCUGGGCUUGACAUGUAAUGAACAACAUGUGAAAGCAUGCGACUCUUCGGAGGCGUUACACAGGUGCUGCAUGGCCGUCGUCAGCUCGUGUCGUGAGAUGUUUGGUUAAGUCCAGCAACGAGCGCAACCCCUGUUGCCAGUUACCAGCACGUGAAGGUGGGGACUCUGGCGAGACUGCCCAGAUCAACUGGGAGGAAGGUGGGGACGACGUCAGGUCAGUAUGGCCCUUACGUCCGGGGCGACACACGUGUUACAAUGGCGUGGAACAGAGGGAAGCCACCUGGCGACAGGGAGCGGAACCCGAAAACACGUCUCAGUUCGGAUUGGAGUCUGCAACUCGACUCCAUGAAGCUGGAUUCGCUAGUAAUCGCGCAUCAGCCAUGGCGCGGUGAAUACGUUCCCGGGCCUUGUACUCACCGCCCGUCA